AAAAUCUAUACGUGCAUUUAAUUUUCCAACCAUUGGAAACCGUGCGGCAGCAGAAGGAGGUGAGAUGUGCAGGAAGUGGAAUCCAAGUGGCAGCUCAUGGAGUGCAAAAAUUCAGAAAGUGGAAAACAUGUGGCAGCAUGGGACUCGACCGUUCGGUUUUUGGAGGUGGUAUAAAAGCUGAAGUUUUAAAUCUGGCAUCAUUUUCCCUGCCUGCGAUCUUCUUCUCCAAAACUUCAGAACUCCAUUUUCUCCUCCUUCUCUCUAAAACCUCCACCUUUUCUCUAAGAUUCCGACCAUUUCCUUUCCUCCGAUCAUCAACUUUCUUUUAAAAUAAAUACUCCUGGUGUCAAGACCUUCACUUUGCACCGGUCUAAUUUCCAUUCUGAACCGGUAAGUGUUUCUGGCCGUUGAAGCUUCUUGGUAUUCUUGCAUGCAAGUACCCUUUAAGCUUGCAGGUGAUUGUUAAACCAUUUCUCUAAAACCUGUUGUCUUGUAAUUUG
This 500-nucleotide long non-coding RNA is filed under the name Vigna radiata. RNAcentral describes it as "long non-coding RNA (VRAD_LNC018400)". Lineage: Eukaryota; Viridiplantae; Streptophyta; Magnoliopsida; Fabales; Fabaceae. The record is from RNAcentral.